UCCACGCCGUAAACGAUGCUCACUCGCUGUAUGCGAUACACAGUAUGCGGCCAAGCGAAAGUGAUAAGUGAGCCACCUGGGGAGUACGAUCGCAAGGUUGAAACUCAAAGGAAUUGACGGGGGCCCGCACAAGCGGAGGAACAUGUGGUUUAAUUCGAUGAUACGCGAGGAACCUUACCUGGGCUUAAAUGUAGAUUGCAUGCUGUAGAAAUACACUUUCCUUCGGGACUAUCUACAAGGUGCUGCAUGGUUGUCGUCAGCUCGUGCCGUGAGGUGUCGGGUUAAGUCCCAUAACGAGCGCAACCCCUAUCGUUAGUUGCCA
RNAcentral lists this ribosomal RNA (322 nucleotides) under uncultured bacterium. RNAcentral describes it as "bacterial SSU rRNA". It matches the Rfam family "Bacterial small subunit ribosomal RNA", at positions 794 to 1120 of the family's 1533-position model. The record is from RNAcentral.